AUGAGGUUCAGGUCUUACACUCCGCCGGGGGGCCGCCGGUUCAGUCGGCUGAUAAUGAUGAGGACGAAGACGACGAGGAUGGCGAUGAAGAUGAUGAUGGUGAAGGCGGCGAUGACGACGACGACGACGACGACGACGACGACGACAACGAUGAGGAGGAGGAAGAUGACGCUGAAGAAGAGGAUAUGGGCACGGAAUACCUUGUUCAACCAGUAGGUCGUGCUGAAGAUGAAGAAGAUGCUAGUGAUUUUGAACCAGAAGAGAAUGGUGAGGAUGAAGAUGUUGAGGAGGAAGAUGAUGACGGAGAUGAUGAUGACAAAGAAGGUGCUGGGAAAGUUGAGGCUCCAGCAAAGAGGAAGAGGUCGGAUAAAGAUGACUCAGAUGAUGAUGAUGGUGGAGAGGAUGAUGAGAGACCAUCCAAGCGAUAGGGCUGGGGACCCUUCUUGGUUUGAGGACUGACCAUUUAACAAAUAGGUCAAUCUCUCUAUCCCUCAAUCUUAAACCAUCUCAUCUUUGUAGAAAGAAGGAUAGGAUGCUUUUGGAUUUAUGUUUUAAAAUCCUGUAUCAUCAAGUGGCAGUACUUUUAGGAUUAUAUGUUUAAUUUGGGAAGGCAUUGUUGGGGUUUUUGGGCGGGGAGGUGGUUGUGGUGGUGUUUGAAUAACUAUUUGAAACAGUUGAUUUUAGACAUUUUGUAAGUUAUGAUCUUAGCUAAGCUGUAAACUUUGAAUACUUAAAAUCUUUAGGGUUGAUUGCAGUUUCAGAUUUCUUAGUUUGUGCCCCCUUCUCCUGUUUAUCUUUUUUAAAUCUGUGGAAUGGUUGUUGAAUCUUAUUGUUGUAUGAUUAAUUGAUUUUGUAGUACAAGGAUGAGUCUUUAUGGGCAUUUUGUGGUUUAGAUAAUUUGUUUGAAUUGAUGAUGGCUUGGCGAAAGAAAUUAACUUUCAGCCGUUGGUUUUCUCUUCCAUUUAGGAGCGGAGAGACUGAGGUGUUGAUCCUAGAAAUUAUCUUUUACAAAAUGUUCAUGUUCAGCCAAGCCCAACCAGGGGAUGGAAAUGGAUCAUUCAAUGAUGGACUGAACUUGGCAAUUAGCGCAAAGCAAUUAAUUAACGUUAUAACUACAAACGUGUCCGUCUCCGGUCGAAAGCCUUGCAUGUGGGGACCUUGUUUUGCAGUGAUGUCAUUGUGCAAAUUACUUUUUGAGCAUGAGAGAGAGUGCUUUGCUUCAUUUCACUGACCAAUGUUUUUGGUUGACUGCGGUAACAGAUGGGCGAUGGCGUUUCAAUGGGCGAGAUAAAUGGAAUUGAUAGGAUAGCGUUUCACUGUGAAAUUUCCAAGCAUCGAGAUUUAUUAUUAAUUGGGGAGCCCCCGAAAGCAUAUUCCCACACUACUUUUUGACAACAGGAAAAGCUUGUUUCUUUGUAUGGCACUAGAAAAAUGAAAAACCCAUCCAACCCAAUCUGAUUCUGACCGUACAAAGAGAUGUUGGGUGGCCUUUACCACCUCAAGACAACCACCAAAGGUUCAUUGCUCCCUCACCGUGCCUGAGGAGUUGCAUAAUUCAUUCUGAAUUGCACCUAAUAGGAAUAGAAUGCAAGGUCAAAAUAACCCCUUUCAUCAAAAGAGCAUCAGUCACUAGUUAUCAUUCGUAAUUUAUGAGCAUACUCUUUUGUUAGUACUCAUAGCUUGAAGGACAAUUUUUAUGGUUUUAA
RNAcentral lists this unclassified non-coding RNA (1706 nucleotides) under Hevea brasiliensis (rubber tree). The record is from RNAcentral. Lineage: Eukaryota; Viridiplantae; Streptophyta; Magnoliopsida; Malpighiales; Euphorbiaceae.